GAUGAAGAACGCAGCGAAAUGCGAUACUUGGUGUGAAUUGCAGAAUCCCGUGAACCAUCGAGUCUUUGAACGCAAGUUGCGCCCGAAGCCAUUAGGCCGAGGGCACGCCUGCCUGGGCGUCACACGUCGUUGCCCCCCCCAUCUACUCCUUCGGGAUUGCGGGGGGCGGAUGAUGGCCUCCCGUGCGCCUCGCCGCGCGGUUGGUAUGAAUGCCAAGUCCUCGGCGACGCACGCCACGACAAUCGGUGGUUGCGAAACCUCGGUUGCCCGUCGUGUGCGGUCGUCGCGCAUCGAGGGCUCGAAAAAAUUGCCGAGUUCCGGCUCGGCUUUCAACGCGACCCCAGGUCAGGCGGGGUUACCCGCUGAAUUUAAGCAUAUCAAUAAGCGGAGGA
RNAcentral lists this unclassified non-coding RNA (392 nucleotides) under soil metagenome. RNAcentral's name for it is "partial contains 5.8S ribosomal RNA, internal transcribed spacer 2, and large subunit ribosomal RNA". The stretch from base 1 to 122 matches the Rfam family "5.8S ribosomal RNA", at positions 35 to 154 of the family's 154-position model. The record is from RNAcentral.